CGAACUUUCUUACACUGAUAUUUAACCCCAAUUCAAUUAAUGUCUACCACAUUGACUAUUAACAUACAUUUUAAAAGACAAUUUAAAUAAUAUUUAUAAUAUUAUAUUUAUUUCCUAACACCAUUCAGUAUGUUAUAUUGAAAUAUUCACAAUUAAAUAUAAUAUGCUAAGUGUGCUGUGUAUUAUUCAAUAAAUAUCAGAUAAGAUCAGGAUCAGAUAAGAGAUCAAUUAGCAUCAUAAACACUAAUCCCUAUCAGUGCUCCAUCUAGCCAAAACAAAGGGGUGUUUAUAGAAUUUUGAUUGGUUCUGGGACCAUCUAUUUGAAAACAAACCACUUUUGAUUGGUUGGAGCACAGCAAGUUAUUUGGAGCACAGGAAGUUAUUUUUGUAAACAAUUUGGUUUCAGCAACUUAAAUUGAGCUAAAUUAUAGGUAUAAUUCAGCAACAUUAAUUCUAGUGUCAAAUGUCUUGAAAUUCUUUCAGCACAUGAACUAUUGUGUGAUGCAAAAACAAUGUGUGUUUACUACAAUGUGUAAAUCAACAAUAAGUUUGUUGCAAAGAAGAUUCAAAGUGGGUGGUUAAAGUGAAUGCUGAAGAACAGCUGUAACAGGUUAAACCCCAAGGUGAAAUUUACAUUGAUCGGAAGAUCCAUUGGACAGAAUGUGCAUCAUCGCCUGCCAAAAAAGGGAGCAAAAAGGGGACUACCUGAUGUAUGGACAUGUAUACCAGGCCAACUUGAGGGGAACAGGAGUGGGAAACCGUGCCCUGUAGCUUGUCCUUGACCAAGAAAAGAUGGAUUUGUUGAGAGGACCUGAUCUCAAAUGAGAUCAUGCACGAGAAGCGCCUCGCAGACCAUGACAGUAGUAUUCAGACCUGAUCAGCUGGUGAAGUGCUCUAUAAAGGGUUGUUUAUGAAUGCAUUCUUUGUAAGGAACAGUGUAUAACAACAAAUAUAGUGACAGGGGCUAAGCUGCUAAAUAUUGUCAGAAUGUAUGCAGUGAUUUUCUUUGGAAAUUUAAAACAACCUGUACGUACUGGCUCUCAGAAGGGCAUGUUUUAGCGCAAUAAUGAACAAAAAAAGGAAGAUCUUAAAAAUAAGGUAUAGAUUUAUAUAAAUUUCAUGAAUACUGUUCAUUUAUCAUAUAUUAGGAUCCAGAAUAUGAUUGAAUUGAAUGUGAUGCUUUUAUCCAUAUUAAAAAGGGAUUUGGAAUUAAUGUAAUACAUAAAAAUCUAGUAAAUGAUAGGGAAAACAUUUCAGCUUAAGGAGGGGAAAUCUUUAAUAUUUUUGAAGCGGAAACCACCUGUAUUUGGCUGUUAAUCAGUUACCGAUAAUCAGAGGGGAGAAAAAUCACUGGUAUUAGCUUGAUAUUUUCAAUUGUUAAUUCCAGAUAGGCAAUAGCCCGUUUGAAUCCUCUCUUUUAUGUAGAUAUGUAACAUUUGUUUUUGUUUUUUAAGGUUUAACAUUCUAAUAAAAGUGUGUAUUUAUCUAUUGAAUUGUACUUUUUGUUUUUUAUGUAUGUGUUUACACUAACCUUUCAUUUAAAGAAUGAAUGCUGACUUCAAAAUGCUGGGACUUUUUUAAUUUGGUUAAUUUUUAAGCAUAUUAAUUUGAAGUGAUGAAAAGUACACUUGAGCGUAUAAUGCGCUUAA
Dreissena polymorpha is the source of this 1649-nucleotide long non-coding RNA. RefSeq lists it as uncharacterized. The record is from RefSeq and is a predicted model, not a curated record. Lineage: Eukaryota; Metazoa; Mollusca; Bivalvia; Myida; Dreissenidae. The transcript is spliced from 3 exons.